UCUCGUCUUCUUCUUCUCUUCUUCUCUCCCUCGCCCCCCCUUUUCUUCUCCUCUUUUUGUGUUUUUUUUUUCUUUUUCUUCCAAAAAGAAGGCUUGAGUUGUUUUUCUCGCUUUCUUUAUGUUCC
RNAcentral lists this ribosomal RNA (125 nucleotides) under Paramoeba aestuarina. RNAcentral's name for it is "partial Trypanosomatid mitochondrial large subunit ribosomal RNA". The record is from RNAcentral. Lineage: Eukaryota; Discosea; Flabellinia; Dactylopodida; Paramoebidae.